This 1094-nucleotide long non-coding RNA is filed under the name Serinus canaria (Common canary). RNAcentral's name for it is "lncRNA (ENSSCAG00000004195.1)". Lineage: Eukaryota; Metazoa; Chordata; Aves; Passeriformes; Fringillidae. The record is from RNAcentral.
GUGGGAAAGUGCGGGCAGCACCCUCGGUUGUGCUGUGGCGGCCUCAGGGAUGCUUUGGAACAGGGGGAGAUCUGGAGGGAUACCAGUCCUGAAGCCCCAGCGACGUUCAGGCCAGCUCUUCAGCUGCAGGAGCGCCCGGGAGAGAUCCAUUCUCCUGAGAAAUGUGUUGCAUUCCUCUAUUUUGCUGCCUUUUGUGUUUAACCGGCAGACCCUCUCCUUAAGCGUGCCAAGAGCAUCCAGGCCCGGGAAUUUUUAGUCUCCUUCGCCGUGCCGCCCCUCUCCGCCGUGCAAGCGGCUUUCCCGCUCCCCGAGAGGGCUGCAGGUGUAGGCAGGCGGCCCGGCUUGCCCGCUCCCUCCGCCGCGCAGCAUCCCAGCUCCGCCGGGGACGGGCCGUCCGCCCCAUGGUGCACAGUCGCCCCCGGUGCGGUUCGGGUGCGGAGGGUCGCGGAGCGCCCCGCACCUCGCCGCGCCGCGCCCGCUCUCCUCGGGGCAGGGAGGUUGGCAGCUCCCUUCCCUUUUUUUUGAGGGGUGUGGGGGUGUAAUGCUGCAAGGUGCGUUCGCGGAGCCGCGAUCCAGNNNNNNNNNNNNNNNNNNNNNNNNNNNNNNNNNNNNNNNGACGAGAGAGAGAGAGAGAGAGAGAGAGGGAGGGGGGAGAGAGUGAGAAAUGCAGAGGCAGCAGCCGCGGUAGCGGCGGCAGUGCUCCAGCAGGCACUAGGCACUCCAGUCCCAGCGAGCGAGCGGGCGAGAGCCACAGCGCUCCGAGCGAGGCGAGGGGGGCUCUGGGCUACCUGGGACUCUCUUUGUGACACACCAGCACACAAACACUCCGACAGGGACAGAGGAAAAACACAUAAAGCUUUGGCCCAUGCAGUGAACCAUGAAGUCUUUCAGCAGAACCUCCUGCGUACCGACGGCUUCCGUCUGAACAAUGGUAAAUUCUUCCCUUGUGCCGGCACCCACCCAUGGCCCAAUGGCAUGCACUGAGCAGGGGAGGAAAAAAAAGGCUGAUUGCAGGGUAAAACCAGCCUUCCCAUGAAAUCUUGGGUGAGUUCUAUGUGGUUACAUUUUUACACAAUCAGCUACCAUUGAAUUAG